This 68-nucleotide transfer RNA is filed under the name Radix sp. MOTU5. RNAcentral describes it as "tRNA-Asn". The record is from RNAcentral. Lineage: Eukaryota; Metazoa; Mollusca; Gastropoda; Lymnaeidae.
UUUAAACGAAGCAGACUUUUUGCAUUUAACUGUUAAUUAUUUGGAAACCUUUUUAAGGUCGUUUAAAU